AAUCAACGCUGGCGGCGCGCCUAACACAUGCAAGUCGAACGAGAAAGUGGAGCAAUCCAUGAGUAAAGUGGCGUACGGGUGAGUAACACGUGGAUAAUCUGCCCUUUAGUGGGGAAUACCGUUGGGAAACCGACGACAAUACCGCAUAAUCUCGAGAGAGGAAAGCAGCAAUGCGCUGAAGGAGGAGUCCGCGGUCGAUUAGCUAGUUGGUGAGGUAAUGGCNCACCAAGGCUGUGAUCGAUAGCCGGCCUGAGAGGGCACACGGCCACACUGGCACUGAAACACGGGCCAGACUCCUACGGGAGGCAGCAGUGGGGAAUCUUGCACAAUGGGGGAAACCCUGAUGCAGCGACGCCGCGUGAGCG
This 365-nucleotide ribosomal RNA is filed under the name uncultured bacterium. RNAcentral's name for it is "bacterial SSU rRNA". It matches the Rfam family "Bacterial small subunit ribosomal RNA", at positions 32 to 407 of the family's 1533-position model. The record is from RNAcentral.